This 87-nucleotide transfer RNA is filed under the name Candidatus Giovannonibacteria bacterium RIFCSPHIGHO2_01_FULL_43_140. Its description in RNAcentral is "tRNA-Ser". It matches the Rfam family "tRNA". From Rfam's summary of the family: Transfer RNA (tRNA) molecules are approximately 80 nucleotides in length. Their secondary structure includes four short double-helical elements and three loops (D, anti-codon, and T loops). Further hydrogen bonds mediate the characteristic L-shaped molecular structure. tRNAs have two regions of fundamental functional importance: the anti-codon, which is responsible for specific mRNA codon recognition, and the 3' end, to which the tRNAs corresponding amino acid is attached (by aminoacyl-tRNA synthetases). tRNAs cope with the degeneracy of the genetic code in two manners: having more than one tRNA (with a specific anti-codon) for a particular amino acid; and 'wobble' base-pairing, i.e. permitting non-standard base-pairing at the 3rd anti-codon position. RNAcentral also lists the same sequence under 5 other names. The record is from RNAcentral. Lineage: Bacteria; Candidatus Giovannoniibacteriota.
GGUGGGUUGGCUGAGCGGUUGAAGGCACCAGUCUUGAAAACUGGAAGCCGCGAAAGCGGCUCGCAGGUUCGAAUCCUGCACCCACCG